Molecule: long non-coding RNA, 619 nt
Organism: Daphnia carinata
Lineage: Eukaryota; Metazoa; Arthropoda; Branchiopoda; Diplostraca; Daphniidae
Exons: 4
Source: RefSeq, a predicted model, not a curated record
CCUUAUAGCCAUGGAACACUUGACAUUGAUUCCAUUUACACUUGCAGAAGCAAAAACGAACAUAUUUGCAACAAGUAUUUUUGGUGACCAUGAAACCAAAAAUUGUUUAUUUUUUAAAGCACCUAUAUUUAGAAGACAUCUAGCGGAGGAAUUGCUUGUUACUGAGUACUCUACUGAACUGUCAAUUUGUUCGUUGUCAAAGGGCUACAUCGAGUUUGGUUGCCAUAAUAAUGGUUGCCUCGCGAAUUGGAAAUGUUUUGCCGAAUCCCAGUAUAUCGCCAAGUGUGCCAUAUUUUCACAAUCAUUUUUCUCCUUAGGAUGGUUACCAAUGUGCAGUUGAAUUCUAAAAGGUUUUGUUUGAUAUGCUAUAUUUAAAGAACUGAUGUUGGCACCAGCUUGAUGGAAAAAAGUCAUUUUCAACGUGGGCACAGGGGAACUUGGAUUUAUUUGGUGAUCAAGAGUCAGAUGGUUUUCCUGUAGUUGCAGUUUGAAAUAACCUUUCAAAGCCUAAACUCAUCUUCGUAGAAAGGGACUUGUGACGAGUAACACUGGCUCUGUAAAUGUUCUUGGUUUGGGGCAAGACGUUGAAUAAACUGUGACUAUUGGAUGGAAGACAUGG